Quercus robur (English oak) is the source of this 554-nucleotide long non-coding RNA. RefSeq lists it as uncharacterized. The transcript is spliced from 2 exons. Lineage: Eukaryota; Viridiplantae; Streptophyta; Magnoliopsida; Fagales; Fagaceae. The record is from RefSeq and is a predicted model, not a curated record.
AAGAAAAAAUAAAUAAAGAAAGAAAGGCAAAACACAAUUUACAUAUACAAAAAAUAAAUGUCUUGAAGAACAAUAACAUUUUCACUUACGAUCAUAUAUAGUAGUAACAAUCAUUUUUCCAAUAGCAAAUAUUAUGAUUACUUAAAUCACAUAUAUAUUUUAUUCUUAUAGGAAAAGCAGGUGAAUCAUAAGACACAGCAAGAAGAGCAAAUUGAGACUAUUGAGGAGGAUAUGUGAUGCUGGGCAAUACAUACAGUAGGUUAUAUCAACUACAUGAUGUUCAACCUCAAGUUAGUAAGAGAAUAUGACACUGAAAUAUAUGAAGAAGGAAGCAGUUUCACAAAACUUAUGAGAAGCACAUCUAAGGCUAUGCUCAUUCCCAACAGGGCCUUAUAUUGUUUUCUUUUUGUGCCUUUUAUUGUUUUCUUUUUGUUAUAUAAUAACUAGCCAGACCUAUCUUAUGCUAUUUGUAUGUGUAUUCUGAGAGCACUAUUGUGUGAUAAUACUCUCGUGUCUAUGUUCAAUCUUUUCUCCAUAAGACUCUAGAUUUGAAA